RNAcentral lists this ribosomal RNA (117 nucleotides) under Salmonella enterica subsp. enterica. Lineage: Bacteria; Pseudomonadati; Pseudomonadota; Gammaproteobacteria; Enterobacterales; Enterobacteriaceae. The record is from RNAcentral.
UGGCGGCACUAGCGCGGUGGUCCCACCUGACCCCAUGCCGAACUCAGAAAGUGAAACGCCGUUAGCGCCGAUGGUAGUGUGGGGUCUCCCCAUGCGAGAGUAGGGAACUGCCAGGCA